This 370-nucleotide long non-coding RNA is filed under the name Athene cunicularia (burrowing owl). RNAcentral describes it as "lncRNA (ENSACUG00000009092.1)". The record is from RNAcentral. Lineage: Eukaryota; Metazoa; Chordata; Aves; Strigiformes; Strigidae.
GCCAGAACCACGAGUACAGGGUCCUGCUGGACGUCAAAUGCCGCCUGGAGCAGGAGAUCGCCACGUACCGCCGGCUCCUGGAGGGCGAGGACGCCCACAUGUCUUCCCACUACAUCUCGCAGUCUGUGAAAGAAGCACCUGUAACGACCCGCCAAAUCCGCACCAUCUUUGAGGAGGUGCAGGAUGGGAAGGUGAUUUCCUCCCGUGAGCAGAUCACCCAGUCUGCCCACUGAGGGGGCUGCGUGGUUUGCUGCAAACCUCGCAGAGCAGCGCAAAAGAAGGUUCCGGCUUGUGUGCUCUGGCUACGUAGGUCACGAAAAGCGUCGUCUCUUCUCAUCACACCCCCGCUUCCCUCACCCUUCUCUAAGCG